This is a long non-coding RNA of Perognathus longimembris pacificus (Pacific pocket mouse), 322 nucleotides long. RefSeq lists it as uncharacterized. Lineage: Eukaryota; Metazoa; Chordata; Mammalia; Rodentia; Heteromyidae. The transcript is spliced from 3 exons. The record is from RefSeq and is a predicted model, not a curated record.
AUAGAAAAAAUUAUUACAUAUUAUUUCACAAUUUAAAAACCAGAACAAGGGCCUGGGUGCAACAACUCCUGUCUACAAUCCUAGCUACUUAGAAGGCCAAAAUCAGGAGGUGGAGAUGAGGAGAAUCCCAGCCUAAAGCUCAUUCUUGCAAAAUCUGAAACCGUAUUUGAAAAAUAACUCAAGUAAAAAAGGAAUGGAGUUGUGGUUAAGGAGGUAAAGCACUUGCCUAGCAAGCGUGAAGCCCUAAGUUCAAACCCCAGUACUACCAAAUAAAAAACAAAACAAAAAGAUUAAUUUUUUUUGUCAGUCCUUGCUGGGGCUU